This 336-nucleotide unclassified non-coding RNA is filed under the name soil metagenome. RNAcentral describes it as "partial contains 5.8S ribosomal RNA, internal transcribed spacer 2, and large subunit ribosomal RNA". The stretch from base 1 to 120 matches the Rfam family "5.8S ribosomal RNA", at positions 35 to 154 of the family's 154-position model. The record is from RNAcentral.
GAUGAAGAACGCAGCGAAAUGCGAUAAGUAAUGCGAAUUGCAGAUUUCAGUGAGUCAUCGAAUCUUUGAACGCACAUUGCGCCCGCCAGUAUUCUGGCGGGCAUGCCUGUUCGAGCGUCAUUUCAACCAUCAAGCCCCCGGCUUGUGUUGGGGACCUGCGGCUGCCGCAGGCCCUGAAAACCAGUGGCGGGCUCGCUGUCACACCGAGCGUAGUAGAUUUUCAUCUCGCUCAGGGCGUGCUGCGGGUUCCGGCCGUAAAAAGCCUUAUUUACCCAAGGUUGACCUCGGAUCAGGUAGGAAGACCCGCUGAACUUAAGCAUAUCAAUAAGCGGAGGA